This 468-nucleotide ribosomal RNA is filed under the name uncultured bacterium. RNAcentral's name for it is "partial 16S ribosomal RNA". It matches the Rfam family "Bacterial small subunit ribosomal RNA", at positions 28 to 507 of the family's 1533-position model. The record is from RNAcentral.
GACGAACGCUGGCGGCGUGCUUAACACAUGCAAGUCGAACGGAAAGGCCCUGCUUUUGUGGGGUGCUCGAGUGGCGAACGGGUGAGUAACACGUGAGUAACCUGCCCUUGACUUUGGGAUAACUUCAGGAAACUGGGGCUAAUACCGGAUAGGAGCUCCUGCUGCAUGGUGGGGGUUGGAAAGUUUCGGCGGUUGGGGAUGGACUCGCGGCUUAUCAGCUUGUUGGUGGGGUAGUGGCUUACCAAGGCUUUGACGGGUAGCCGGCCUGAGAGGGUGACCGGCCACAUUGGGACUGAGAUACGGCCCAGACACCUACGGGAGGCAGCAGUGGGGAAUAUUGCACAAUGGGCGGAAGCCCGAUGCAGCAACGCCGCGUGCGGGAUGACGGCCUUCGGGUUGUAAACCGCUUUCGCCUGUGACGAAGCGUGAGUGACGGUAAUGGGUAAAGAAGCACCGGCUAACUACGUG